GAGUAUGCUGCGGCCAGUGUUGUGUUAGUGCCGCGCAGGAACGACCAAAAAGUCGUUCGCUUCCGAUGAUGAUCAGGUGAAAGUUAUUCACAUACCUGUUGACCACUGGCCGAAGAGCUCCUGGUAUGCUCCUGCUUCUGCCGUAGCCAAAACGGAUCUAUUUCAUAGAGUAGUGACAGAUAACCAUUUACCACAACCGAGCUCCAGUAUGUAUCAAAAUAACGGCUAGUGGCCAUAGCUUAGUGGAGGAUUUGUUCCACUGACUGUCGGCGUUACUAAUAGUAUUCGGAAAACAUCAAUGGUGGACAUUCUGAACGGGGCAGCACGUUUGUCUAAAGAAGCGAACAUGAAUUAUGCGGUAAAUUAAUCACCUAAAUUUGUGCGGGGCGCACUUUUUGAGUAAUGGGAAACACUUGUUGCAUUUAUUUUUUUCGUUUCGUCUUAGAGUAAAAAGUCAUGUACACUUUGCACAAACCGGGUACCCAUGAGGUACCGAAACCUCUAAAUGACCUGUUGCAAGUUGCAUUGCGUUACAGAAACUGAUGUAUAUACAAUUAAUUUAUGUUGGUAUUAACACAUGUGAGUCGGUUUCGGAUAAGUUUUUAUUUUUAUCAGUACUCAACAAGAAGCCAAACUGAAAGAAUAUCUAUGAGUGAAAAUGUUAGUAGAAAAGGAGGAAGGGGGUGUAAAAUCAGGGCUUUGAACACUUUGCUUGACAUUGCUGAAUGAAAGACCUGUAUUAGAGAGAAACUAGAUGCGUGAGGGUAGAAACAAGUUCCCUUGCUUCGUAAAUUGCCUGUGCUCUCAGUCUCAGUUAACACAUGAACUAAGCAAUUCAUGGCAAUGGGUUCGCUCUCGUUAGUACUGUACGAGAAUGAAGAACUUUGCUUCACGGCGUGCUACAAGAAGCGAAGCAAGGUCAUACAGGUAAUGUUUAUGGUGAUUUUUUUUCAGUGUAGGUUUACAGAAAUUCAUUUUUGAAACUAAUGUUUGCACUCUAACACCGAAUUUGAUCACAU
Long non-coding RNA from Malaya genurostris, 1019 nucleotides. RefSeq lists it as uncharacterized. The transcript has 3 exons. NCBI's taxonomy places the organism in Eukaryota, Metazoa, Arthropoda, Insecta, Diptera, Culicidae. The record is from RefSeq and is a predicted model, not a curated record.